RNAcentral lists this transfer RNA (88 nucleotides) under Hungatella hathewayi. RNAcentral's name for it is "tRNA-Ser". It matches the Rfam family "tRNA". From Rfam's summary of the family: Transfer RNA (tRNA) molecules are approximately 80 nucleotides in length. Their secondary structure includes four short double-helical elements and three loops (D, anti-codon, and T loops). The record is from RNAcentral. Lineage: Bacteria; Bacillati; Bacillota; Clostridia; Lachnospirales; Lachnospiraceae.
GCUCACGUGCGCGAAUUGGUGAAACGGGCACACUGCUAAUGUGUUGGUCGGGAAACCGGCCUGGGGGUUCGAAUCCCUCCGUGAGCGC